GACGGACGCUGGCGGCGUGCUUAACACAUGCAAGUCGAACGGAAAGGCCCUGCUUUUGUGGGGUGCUCGAGUGGCGAACGGGUGAGUAACACGUGAGUAACCUGCCCUUGACUUUGGGAUAACUUCAGGAAACUGGGGCUAAUACCGGAUAGGAGCUCCUGCUGCAUGGUGGGGGUUGGAAAGUUUCGGCGGUUGGGGAUGGACUCGCGGCUUAUCAGCUUGUUGGUGGGGUAGUGGCUUACCAAGGCUUUGACGGGUAGCCGGCCUGAGAGGGUGACCGGCCACAUUGGGACUGAGAUACGGCCCGGACUCCUACGGGAGGCAGCAGUGGGGAAUAUUGCACAAUGGGCGGAAGCCUGAUGCAGCAACGCCGCGUGCGGGAUGACGGCCUUCGGGUUGUAAACCGCUUUCGCCUGUGACGAAGCGUGAGUGACGGUAAUGGGUAAAGAAGCACCGGCUAACUACGUG
Molecule: ribosomal RNA, 468 nt
Filed under: uncultured bacterium
Lineage: Bacteria
Description: partial 16S ribosomal RNA
Rfam family: Bacterial small subunit ribosomal RNA
Source: RNAcentral